GUGCUGGCUUCCACAGCACAUAUACUAAAAUUGGAAUGAUACAGAGAUUAACAAGCAUGACACGCAAAUUAGUGAAGCAUUCCAUAUUUUU
This 91-nucleotide small nuclear RNA is filed under the name Myotis brandtii (Brandt's bat). Lineage: Eukaryota; Metazoa; Chordata; Mammalia; Chiroptera; Vespertilionidae. The record is from RNAcentral.